CCUGCCAGUAGUCAUAUGCUU
RNAcentral lists this non-coding RNA (21 nucleotides) under Arabidopsis thaliana (thale cress). Lineage: Eukaryota; Viridiplantae; Streptophyta; Magnoliopsida; Brassicales; Brassicaceae. The record is from RNAcentral.